This 259-nucleotide ribosomal RNA is filed under the name uncultured bacterium. RNAcentral describes it as "partial 16S ribosomal RNA". It matches the Rfam family "Bacterial small subunit ribosomal RNA", at positions 15 to 273 of the family's 1533-position model. The record is from RNAcentral.
GAUCCUGGCUCCGGACGAACGCUGGCGGCGUGCCUAACACAUGCAAGUCGAACGGAGAAUUUUAUUUCGGUAGAAUUCUUAGUGGCGAACGGGUGAGUAACGCGUAUCCAACCUGCCCACCACUUGGGGAUAACCUUGCGAAAGUAAGACUAAUACCCAAUGAUAUCUCUAGAAGACAUCUGAAAGAGAUUAAAGAUUUAUCGGUGAUGGAUGGGGAUGCGUCUGAUUAGCUUGUUGGCGGGGUAACGGCCCACCAAGG